CUGGAACUCGCUUCAUCCUCAACGAAUUCGACGGUUGUGGAGGAUAAUAGGCCUUAAAUGCAAAUCAUCGUAAUAGGUAACGCAAGAAGACGCUAUGCCUAUUCAAACCGGAGUUUAAGUCCAAAUGCCCUUAUGGAAAAAAUUCAUUCUUCUUAUCCCUUCUCUAUUCUCAUUAUCCAUUUGUUUUUGAAUUCCCUAUACUAACCUUUUUUUCUUUAAUAUAUUUCUUCUCCACCUCAUUAAUUCAUUUAAUUUUUCAAUUAAAUACAUCCAACCAAACACAACAACCAAAUGGAGUCCACAAACAACCUUAACCAAUCAGAUUUCUCUUGGCCCACAUAUCUUCAUGUUCCUCUUCUCUCUUCUCUCUCAGCGUGAAGAGCUCUUCUUCUCCACCCUUCAUUGGCGAUUUUAAAACUCGAACAUCAGGUAAUUCUUGUCCGUUUUUCAUGAAAUUUGUGUGAAAUAUCUUUUAAAUGUUUGUGUAAACCAUGGGUAACUUAAAAAAGUAAGAAUUGAUGAAAAUUUGAGACACUGCUAGCAGUUUGUAACACUGGAAAGAAGCUUGAAGAGGUGAAGGCAAAUGAAGAAAAAGGUCUUUGGUAUGCUGAUUUGGUGAACUAUUUAGCUUGUGGAAGAG
This 640-nucleotide long non-coding RNA is filed under the name Brassica napus (rape). Its description in RNAcentral is "long non-coding RNA (BNAP_LNC026184)". Lineage: Eukaryota; Viridiplantae; Streptophyta; Magnoliopsida; Brassicales; Brassicaceae. The record is from RNAcentral.